AAAGAAGCAGGACAAUGGAACUUCCCAUUGACGUUUUGUCGACCCAAAUUUUGACCUUUAAGUACUUUUUCGGGCAUUUUGUGAUUUGGGCUAUAUUACGGACCCAAAAUUACUUGUUCAAGCAUUGUUUUCGAAUUUUUUCAAUGCAUCAAAGCUCGUUAAGACUAGAUGGGGUAUCCCUACAUAGCGGGUGGGACCCACGGCGAAUGUUCAUCAAGUCUUCAAAAAAGAAUAUAUACGAUUGCAUUGCAUAUACUAACGGAUGCGAUCAUACCAGCACUAAUGCACCGGAUCCCAUUAGAACUCCGCAGUUAAGCGUGCUUGGGCGAGAGUAGUACUAGGAUGGGUGGGUGACCUCCCGGGAAGUCCUCGUGUUGCAUCCCUCUUUUNUGUUUA
Molecule: ribosomal RNA, 396 nt
Filed under: Arabidopsis thaliana (thale cress)
Lineage: Eukaryota; Viridiplantae; Streptophyta; Magnoliopsida; Brassicales; Brassicaceae
Source: RNAcentral